RNAcentral lists this transfer RNA (78 nucleotides) under Gracilaria edulis. Its description in RNAcentral is "tRNA-Leu". It matches the Rfam family "tRNA", at positions 10 to 71 of the family's 71-position model. From Rfam's summary of the family: Transfer RNA (tRNA) molecules are approximately 80 nucleotides in length. Their secondary structure includes four short double-helical elements and three loops (D, anti-codon, and T loops). Further hydrogen bonds mediate the characteristic L-shaped molecular structure. tRNAs have two regions of fundamental functional importance: the anti-codon, which is responsible for specific mRNA codon recognition, and the 3' end, to which the tRNAs corresponding amino acid is attached (by aminoacyl-tRNA synthetases). tRNAs cope with the degeneracy of the genetic code in two manners: having more than one tRNA (with a specific anti-codon) for a particular amino acid; and 'wobble' base-pairing, i.e. permitting non-standard base-pairing at the 3rd anti-codon position. The record is from RNAcentral. Lineage: Eukaryota; Rhodophyta; Florideophyceae; Gracilariales; Gracilariaceae.
AUGAAAUUUGGUAGACAUAUUAGAUUUAGAUUCUAAUGAUGAUUAACCAUCGUGAGGGUUCAAAUCCCUCUAUCCGUA